GACGAACGCUGGCGGCGUGCUUAACACAUGCAAGUCGAACGGAAAGGCCCCUUUGGGGGUACUCGAGUGGCGAACGGGUGAGUAACACGUGAGUAACCUGCCCUUGACUUCGGGAUAACUUCAGGAAACUGGGGCUAAUACCGGAUAGGAAUCCUUGCUGCAUGGUGGGGGUUGGAAAGCUUCGGCGGUUUUGGAUGGACUCGCGGCUUAUCAGCUUGUUGGUGGGGUAGUGGCUUACCAAGGCUUUGACGGGUAGCCGGCCUGAGAGGGCGACCGGCCACAUUGGGACUGAGAUACGGCCCAGACUCCUACGGGAGGCAGCAGGGGGGAAUAUUGCACGAUGGGCGGAAGCCUGAUGCAGCAGCGCCGCGUGCGGGAUGACGGCCUUCGGGUGGUAGACCGCUUUCAGCAGGGGCGAAGCUUGUGGUGACGGUACCUGCAGAAGAAGCACCGGCUAACUACGUG
Molecule: ribosomal RNA, 465 nt
Filed under: uncultured bacterium
Lineage: Bacteria
Description: partial 16S ribosomal RNA
Rfam family: Bacterial small subunit ribosomal RNA
Source: RNAcentral